Molecule: ribosomal RNA, 253 nt
Filed under: uncultured bacterium
Lineage: Bacteria
Description: partial 16S ribosomal RNA
Rfam family: Bacterial small subunit ribosomal RNA
Source: RNAcentral
UACGAAGGGGGCUAGCGUUGUUCGGAAUUACUGGGCGUAAAGCGCGCGCAGGCGGUCCUUCAAGUCAGGGGUGAAAUCCUGCAGCUUAACUGCAGAAGUGCCUUUGAUACUGUCGGUCUUGAGGGAGAUAGGGGUGUGCGGAACUCACAGUGGAGCGGUGAAAUGCGUUGAUAUUGUGAGGAACGCCGGAGGCGAAAGCGGCGCACUGGAUCUCUUCUGACGCUGAGGCGCGAAAGCUAGGGGAGCAAACGGG